This 1435-nucleotide ribosomal RNA is filed under the name metagenome. Its description in RNAcentral is "bacterial SSU rRNA". It matches the Rfam family "Archaeal small subunit ribosomal RNA". The record is from RNAcentral.
UUCCGUUGAUCCUGCGGAAGAUUGCUGCUAUUAGGGUUCGAUUAAGCCAUGCAAGUCCAGGCUCUCUUUGAGAACCGGCAAAAUGCUCAGUAACACGUCGAUAAUCUGCCCUUAGGUCAGGCAUAACCUUGGGAAACUGAGGAUAAUACCUGAUAUGAGAUAAUAUCUGGAAUGGUAUUUCUUUGAAAGAUUACGCCUAAGGAUGAGUCGGCGGCGGAUUAGGCUGUUGGCGGGGUAAUGGCCCACCAAACCGACGAUCCGUAGGGGCCCUGAGAGGGGUAGCCCCGAGAAGGACACUGAGAUAAUGGUCCUAGCCCCACGGGGUGCAGCAGGCGCGAAACCUUUACAAUGCACGAAAGUGUGAUAAGGGAACCCUAAGUGCUAAUGUUAUGCAUUGGCUUUUGUUUAGAGUAAAUAUCUGGACGAAUAAGUGGUGGGUAAGACUGGUGCCAGCCGCCGCGGUAAUACCAGCGCCACAAGUGGGAAUCGCAAUUAUUGGGCCUAAAGCGUCCGUAGCUGGUUUAGCAAAUCUCUUGUGAAAUCGUGGAGCUUAACUUCACGGCAUGCAGGGGACACUACUAAACUUGGAACCGGGAGGAGUCAGAGGAAUUUUAGGGGGAGCGGUAAAAUGUUAUAAUCCCUGAAAGACCACCUGUCGCGAAGGCGUCUGACUAGAACGGAUUUGACAGUGAGGGACGAAAGCCAGGGGAGCGAACCGGAUUAGAUACCCGAGUAGUCCUGGCCGUAAACGCUGCGAGCUAGGUGUUGCGUAUUCUUCGUGAAUGCGCAGUAUCGAAGCGAAGGCAAUAAGCUCGCCGCCUGGGAAGUAUAGUCGCAAGGCCGAAACUUAAAGGAAUUGGCGGGGGAGCACUACAAGGGGUGCGGCGUGCGGUUCAAUCUAAUUCAACGCAGAAAAUCUCACCGGGAGCGACAGCAGAAUGAAGGUCAGGCUGAAGACCUUACCUGACAAGCUGGGAGGUGGUGCAUGGCCGCCGUCAGCUCGUGCCGUGAGGUGUCCUCUUAAGUGAGGUAACGAGCGAGACCUGCGCCCACAAUUACCAUCAGAUCCUUUUGGAUGACUGGGUACUUUGUGGGGACUGCCUUGGAAACAAGGAGGAGGGUGCAGGCUACGGUAGGUCUGUAUGCCCCGAAUCCCCCGGGCUACACGCGCGCAACAAUGGUAGGGACAAUGGGCCACAACUCCGAAAGGAGAAGUUAAUCCUCUAAACCCUAUCUUAGUCCAGAUCGAUGGCUGUAACUCGCCGUCGUGACGAUGGAAUCCCUAGUAAUCGGACGUCAACAUCGUCCGGUGAAUAUGUCCCUGUUCCUUGCACACACCGCCCGUCAAAUCAACCGAGCAGGGUUUAGGUGAGACUCAAUCUCUUGAUUGUUUCGAACCUAAGCUCAGUGAGGUGGGUUAAGUCGUCACAAGGUA